This 374-nucleotide long non-coding RNA is filed under the name Nicotiana benthamiana. Its description in RNAcentral is "long non-coding RNA (NBEN_LNC031999)". The record is from RNAcentral. Lineage: Eukaryota; Viridiplantae; Streptophyta; Magnoliopsida; Solanales; Solanaceae.
ACCGAGUUCUCCAUUUCAAAGGUCGCUUUACCUGGACGGGCGUGCGUAAGUAGUGAUGCCCCCAUGAGGACUUAAGGUCCUGUCACUCCCGGGGGAUGUUGCCAUUUCCGACUUUCAUGAAAACGAGUUUCAGAAUCAUAUCUUCGGGAGACGGUUGUAGUAGGAGUCUCUACGAGCAUGAUUCGAUCUUUACGAUAAGGUCUUCCAGCAUCCUUGCUGCUACAGGAUAGGUUAUUGGUUCGUCAUUGCCCGAUACCUCGGGUAUUGGCUCGAAAUGCGAAGAUACUUUUGGUGUUGUCGCACUGAGAGUCUCCGGUGGCUUUGCAGUUGAGAGAUAGCCAAAUGUUGUUCCUGCAACAUUUCAAAAAAGUACC